RNAcentral lists this ribosomal RNA (1234 nucleotides) under metagenome. RNAcentral describes it as "bacterial LSU rRNA". It matches the Rfam family "Bacterial large subunit ribosomal RNA", at positions 1564 to 2808 of the family's 2925-position model. The record is from RNAcentral.
UGAAUACGAGAUGCUACGGCGUCGAAGCAGUGUAUGUCAUACUUCCAAGAAAAGCUCGCUAUGUCAUAAACAAUUAAUGCCUGUGCCAUAACCGACACAGGUGGGUAGGUAGAGUAUACUAAGGGGCGCGAGAUAACUCUCUCUAAGGAACUCGGCAAAAUGACUCCGUAACUUCGGGAGAAGGAGUACCUUAUUUAUAAGGUUGCAAUAACAAGAUCCAAGCAACUGUUUACCAAAAACACAGGUCUCCGCUAAGUCGUAAGACGAUGUAUGGGGGCUGACGCCUGCCCAGUGCCAGAAGGUUAAAGAAGUUGGUUAGCAUUCGCGAAGCUGAUGACUGAAGCCCUGGUGAACGGCGGCCGUAACAAUAACGGUCCUAAGGUAGCGAAAUUCCUUGUCGGGUAAGUUCCGUCCCGCACGAAAGGCGUAAUGAUUUGGAUACUGUCUUGAGAGGGGCUCGGUGAAAUAGACUUGUCUGUGAAGAUGCGGACUACCUGCACCAGGACAGAAAGACCCUAUGAAGCUUUACUGUAACUUGAGAUUGAAAUUGGACUUUAUUUGUGCAGUAUAGGUGGGAGGCGUUGAAGAAAUUCUUGCGGGAAUUUUGGAGCCAUCAGUGAGAUACCACCCCUAUAAUGUUAGAUUUCUAACUUUGUAUCAUUAUCUGGUCAAAGAACAGUUUCAGGCGGGCAGUUUGACUGGGGCGGUCGCCUCCCAAAUGGUAACGGAGGCGUACAAAGGUUUCCUCUGAACGGGUAGAAAUCGUAUCUAGAGUAUAAAGGCAUAAGGAAGCUUGACUGUGAGACCUACAAGUCGAGCAGGGACGAAAGUCGGUCUUAGUGAUCUGACGGUGCUGAGUGGAAAGGCCGUCACUCAACGGAUAAAAGUUACUCUAAGGAUAACAGGCUGAUCUCCCCCAAGAGUUCACAUCGACGGGGAGGUUUGGCACCUCGAUGUCGGCUCAUCGCAUCCUGGGGCGGUAGUACGUCCCAAGGGUUGGGCUGUUCGCCCAUGAAAGCGGUACGCGAGCUGGGUUCAGAACGUCGUGAGACAGUUCGGUCCAUAUCCGGUGUAGGCGUUAGAAUAUUGAGAGGAGCCUUCUUUAGUACGAGAGGACCGAGAAGGACAUACCUCUGGUGUACCAGUUAUCGUGCCAACGGUAAACGCUGGGUAGCUAUGUAUGGAGUGGAUAACCGCUGAAAGCAUCUAAGUGGGAAGCCCACCUCAAGAUAAG